AGGAGUAUAAAAAUAUUGCUCGAGCAUGCAGUGGUGUAUAAUCAGGAAGGCCAAAGCACAAUCGGAGUUGCAGCUAGCAAGGGAUGUGAAGGGUAAUAAGAAGGGUUUCUACAAGUAUGUUAGCAACAAGAAGGAAGUCCGGGAAAGUGUGGGACCGUUACUGAUUGGGAGAGGCAACCUAGUGACAGAGGAUGUGGAAAAAGCUAAUGUACUCAAUGC
This is a long non-coding RNA of Chelonia mydas (Green sea turtle), 219 nucleotides long. RefSeq lists it as uncharacterized. The record is from RefSeq and is a predicted model, not a curated record. NCBI's taxonomy places the organism in Eukaryota, Metazoa, Chordata, Testudines, Cheloniidae. The transcript has 3 exons.